Molecule: long non-coding RNA, 9330 nt
Organism: Sitodiplosis mosellana (orange wheat blossom midge)
Lineage: Eukaryota; Metazoa; Arthropoda; Insecta; Diptera; Cecidomyiidae
Exons: 3
Source: RefSeq, a predicted model, not a curated record
CAUAACAUGUAAAAAAUAGUGCUCGAAUAGUGCUGUCGAUUGCAAUUGGUCCCAUGAAUAGUGCUGUUCGGAGACGCUAGCACUAUUCGUCGAAAGUUGAAAAAUCGAUUUUUGGGUACUUUUGUAUGGGAGGUAUGUGAAAUAUUGACUUUUUCUAUACAAAUGAUACGUCAAAAAAUAGUGCUGGAAUAGUGCUGGCGAAUGGCGUUUUCAGAUUUCAAAAAUGUUGCCUGGAGGCCGAGCACUAUUCGUAGAAAGGAAACCAAGAAGAAUGGACACGAAAGACAGUAUAAUCGUCAUCUCCAUCAAUGCUACUCAAACUAACUCCGUUCAAAAAAUGUGUCAAAGUCCGUAAUACCGUAUAUGUGCGUGUAUACGUGUGUCGGUAUUGCCCAAUGUUGCAUACGGUAACACAGAGAUUGCUGCAUUUACGCUAGUGUAUUACAAAUACACCUACGUUAUAAUGUGUAAUACGUUAGUCGCUACAUUCAACUCACGCACACAUAAAAGUUGGUGACUUCUGAGAAAGAACUUGUCGGAAACUUUGCCCUAAGAUUGCGUUCCUAACUUUUUUCAAUGUAUUUCUUAUGGUUAUGGUUAUUUGGGGUGCGUUCAUCUACCGAUUGUACUGAUUUGACAUUUAAGGCAUAAAUUUGAUCGAAUUUCCAACAAGUUUUUUGAUUUUAUUUUAUUUUAUUAGAUUUCUAUUUGAUUUAUCUGAAAAAGCAGGUUUCCCUUUUUUUAAAGCUCAUUCACAUAAAUAUUUUUAUCAACCUACCAAAUAACUAACAAAACAUCACAAAUAACUAAAAUCAUGAAUCGACUUGAAAAAAAUUACAAUUGAUAGUUUUCUCUAGAAAAUCAGUUUUCUCCAAUUUUCCUCAAAAUUCUGUUCGCACCAGGAUUCAGUGACGAGCAGAAAUUCGAGUAUACAUACAGUAUUGGUGCGUGAAACAGAAAGUCAUGACUUUCUGACACACUCACGCAAUCAAUGAGUCAUACAAUGAACGUUCAGAAACCUUGUGUAGUUUGUUUUUGGAAAAUAGCUUAAGUUCUUUAAACGAUUAAGAUUUCCGAACGUUCAAUGUAUCAAUUCUGGUUCAUUGACUCGACUGACUCAUCAUGCCUUCAAAAUGGAGUCAGAAUCUAACUCGUUUCUUAUGACUCAUGAAGAGUGAGUCACAUCAAGUUUGAAUCACUUUGGACAAAUGAAUGACUCUGAUUAUGACUCAUAUUGUGACUCCCUUCAUGACUCAAUUGUACUAUACUGUUCCACUUUUCCGAACAGGAGUCAUAGAGCCAGUAAUCAUACGAAAAAAUCGAUUUCGGACACUUGCCAUGGAAAUGUACCGAAAAAUCGACGAAUAGUGCUCGGCCCCCAGGCAACAUUUUUGAAAUCUGAAAACGCCAUUUGCCAGCACUAUUCCAGCACUAUUUUUUGACGUAUCAUUUGUGUAGAAAAAAUUAAAAUUUCACAUACCUCCCAUACAAAAGUACUGAAAAAUCGACUUUUUCCCACUUUCUACGAAUAGUGCUCGGCCUCCAGGCAACAUUUUUGAAAUCUGAAAACGCCAUUCGCUAGCACUAUUCCAGCACUAUUUUUUGACGUAUCAUUUGUAUAGAAAAAAUCAAUAUUUCACAUACCUCCCAUACAAAAGUACUGAAAAAUCGACUUUUUCCCACUUUCUACGAAUAGUGCUCGGCCCCCAGGCAACAUUUUUGAAAUCUGAAAACGCCAUUCGCCAGCACUAUUCCAGCACUAUUUUUUGACGUAUCAUUUGUAUAGAAAAAAUUAAUAUUUCACAUACCUCCCAUACAAAAGUACUGAAAAAUCGAUUUUUCAACUUCCGACGAAUAGUGCUAGCGUCUCCGAACAGCACUAUUCAUGGGACCAAUUGCAAUCGACAGCACUAUUCGAGCACUAUUUUUUACAUGUUAUGGUUUACCAGCACUAUUUCCGGGCGGUGCUGAUGACAUGUACCUAAUUAUUUGCCGUAUGUUCGAGUACAAGGCGCGCGUGACUUGAUGACUAUUAUAUUAUUUUGCUGGUGCGUGUUUUUCUUCUUCUCUUCAUUCUCUUUAUCCGUGUAGCUCAUUUGUUCUCUCUCAUUUUCAUCAAAUAUGUUUGCCGCAUUUUUUAUACACACAUAUCCACAUUUGCACGCACGCAAACAUGUACCAAAUCUAAAAAUCUGUUUACCGUGGUUUGUCUAUCUUUUUGUUUCGUUUUGUACCAAAACGUUGUUCAUUCAUUGCUUUUAACGGGUCAAAGUCGAAAUGAAAACGCAACAACUCUUAUUCGCACAGUACCUUUCAAAUUAACACCAAUCGAAUUUUGAAAUAGACAUUUUUCUCCAGUGAAUUGGCGAUAUAUCAAUGGCUGGAGCAAAAAAUUCGAUACAUUUCAAAUGAUGACACCAACUGUAUAAAUAAAACAACAGCUGAAUUCUGUUUUAAGCAUCGUUUAUUUUCGGUUUUGUUUUGUUUUGGUCCAUUUGGGUUUUUUUCCAAUAAAGCGAAAGAGAGAGAGAGAGAGAGAGAGAGAGAGAGAGAGAGAGAGAGAGAGAGUGGUACUGUUCGCUGUCCGACUUGAUGAAGUAGGUCCAUUGCAAAUGAACAGCUAAUUUAUGCAAACAAACGGAAACAGACCGCAAUCGAUGAAUCGAAGGACAAGACAUGAAGCAAUGUGGUACAAAUUCAUGUUUUCAAAACUCGAUUCGUGCAUGCUCAAUCGAACAAAAGAAUUCGCUGGAAAAGAAUAGAAUUUCUAUUUUAGAACCGAGAUAAAAAAAAAAGUAAGCUGUUUGGUUGAUAUUAUGACCUUAACGUUUCAUUCAAGCACCUGAUAAAUGUCGCAGAUCUUUCAAAUACAAUUCCAAUUGAUGUCGAAGAUCUUGUCUUUAACACGUUGAUUAAUUUUAGAAACGUUCAAAUCGCAAAGUAAAUGGAAAUGACGUAAAUGGUCGUCGGUUUUUUUUCUUUGUAUGUUGUGAAUGGCGGCAAAUUUAAUGAAUACUGUUUAUUCAGUCAUUCCAAACAAAAAACCGCAUCCAAAGUCUCAUCUCCGCAUGAAACAGGUAAUGAAAAGCCGCCUGGUAAACAAGGAAAAAACCCGAACAAGUAAAUAAGCUUGAGUGACUUCUUCGUCUCUUUGCCAAAAAAAAACAAACAUAUAAUGUCUUGUUGCUCUCCGUCGCAACAGCUUUUUUUCGGAGGUUUUUUGUUGUAGAUUUUCUCUUCACUUGUUGUUUGGAUCGUGGUCUGGGGCUCACAGAGAUUCAUUUGCGCUUUGUUUGCUUUGUCACGCGCCUCACACACACACACACACACACACACACACACACACACACACAAAAGCUGUAACAAAGCAAAAUAAAGCGUCGAAUGGCAUUUAUGAUGGUCUGAGAGAUGAUUUGGAGAUAUCUCCAGGUGAUUCUGAUGAAAUUAUACAAGCGCGAAACAACAUCGAAAAUGAAAGAAAACAAAAUUGUUAACUAAACACAAAACUGGCCGAAAAAAAACUCGCAUAAAAUGAUGGAAUAAAAUACAAAUGUGACGGGUUAUAAUUGCUAAUGCUAAUUAAUAAUAAUUAUUCCGGUUGCGUUUGCUAUUUUCGAAAACUAAGUUUCAUUUACCCAUAUCUUACUCUGGAUUUGGUUUUCGGGUGAAACGAUGUGUAUGCGGACAUGAUAAUAGAAGUACAGAGAGCAACAGAGCACAGCGACAGAAGAAAAAAAAAUCAAUCGCGAUAACUUCGAAUAUCGCAAACAGCGUGUGCGCGUGAGAGUAGGACGCUUGGCAGAGGCUAAAGUAAAUAGCAUGACCACAAGAUCACAAUUCGACUUUGGGUCAUACACAAUCGGGUUGGAUUGUUUGUCAUUUACGCCUCGAUGAAGCUAAUAAUAAUGCCUGUGCGAUUAUUAUUAUUCGCUCAACAAAACCGCCAUACUCACAUUUCGCCUAUCGGUUUUUUUUGUGCAAUUCAUUGCCGAUCCAUUCAGUGAUAAGAGAUUUCGAUCAAAUAAUGAUGAAAAAAACAGCAGCAGCAAUCAUCUCUUACACACAGCGCUUGAUUGAAUCCACAUUAUAUCUGGAUAGUCAGAAGAGCAAUUUUCGAAACAAUAACAACAUUAGCACAGCGAAUGAACCCGGUAACAAUGUGCAUUGCAUGUGUUUAUUUUGGGCAAUGUGAUUGGAUAAUCAACAUUUUUGUUCCACUAUCAAAGGGCGAAUCAUCAUCGCAAUACGCGGAUUUUACUACAUUUUUUUGUUGAAUGUCAUCAAUGUCAUGUGGUUCUGUGUGUGUUUGAGAGAGAGAGAGAGAGAGAGAGAGAGAGAGAGAGAGAGAGAGAGAGAGAGAGAGAGAGAGAGAGAAAGAGAAAGAGCAACCUAUGCAUGCUUGCACGACACACAACAGGAACAUACACAACAAAAGAAAAAUGGAUAAUUUUCACAUUUAGCGGUAAUUUGAACAGGAUAAUUGACUUUCUGGACCAUUACCAGUCUGGGAACAAGUGUUUAUUUUUGUAUAUUUUUUCGUCAUAUUUCUUUGAUUUUUCAUCAAUUUUGAUGGAUGACAUCCAUCAGCCGGAUAAUAUGUGUGUGUCUGUUAUUUUUGAUUUGAGAAUGCAAGCCGUGGAAGUACUGAUUAAUUUCACUUUUUGGGGACUUUUCGAGUCUUGCACAUUUCUCGUCGCUUGCAGCUGUUUUUUGUGUGUUUCUAAAAAAAAACAAUUAUUAUUGAUGCGCAAUAUUCGAGAUACAUUUCAACUCGAAUAAAUUUUUGAUUCAUUAUAACCGUUAUUCAUUGGAGUUGAGUCAUUCGAUGUGCCGCAUAAAAAUUUGCCACUUCAUCUUCCUAAUUGAAAAAAAAGCAGCAACGGCAAUAAUCGAAAGAAAUCAACAGAAAUAUGGAAAAAAGAAAAUUGUAAUGUAAACGAUCGUAAAAAGGAAAGAAAAUGAUGCAAUUGAUUGUUUGGUUUGAAUGUGUGUAAACGUGUUUCUUUUAUGAAUUGGUUAUAAAACAUAGAAAUGGCUGAUAAAUGAAAUAUUUUAUUCAAUUCACAUCGCUUUGUGAUUGCGAAUGAUUGCCUGCAUACACACAUUUAAUCAACAAGUUACCGCACAUGUUGCACACACUAGCUUCGAGCCGAACAAAUCAAACGAAAUGAAUGAACGAAGCGAACGAAUGGGCAACAACAACAACGAAAAAAAUCAUAUGGAAAAGAGAAUAUGAGUGAAGAAGAAAAAAACAGCAUACGGUUCGUAUUGAAUGAUGUGCGUUCACACUCAUGUAUGCGCAGCAGCGGCAGCGUGCGCAAAUAAAACGGGAAAAAACACAUAAAUCGGCUUUUGCCAUAGUAAAAACAUAUUUGGUUGUUUUUUUUUUCUUCAUUAGAUCGAUGUGAACACGAGAGAAGAGUUCAAUAUAUUUUUAUGUAAUUUUUUCAAAUUGAGCGUUGUUUUGUAAUUCGAUUUUCCUAUACAUAUAUAUAAUUCUUUUUCUUUCUUCACUUUGUUUCAUUUUUCGACUAUCUUUUGGACGAAUGAAAAAAGUAUGUUUCGCGCUGUUUUUUUUCUUCUCUUUUCAUCUUUCUUAACAAUUUCUUUCAUUGAAUAAUCGUACAUUCGACGCUUGUGUUCAUACUUGUAAUGUAGUUUGGUUUUUUUUUGUUGCUUCGGCUGUCUGUCUAUGUCCGUGUCUAUUGCAUCGUGUUCACUUUUUUUUCUUUCAACUAUUUCAUUUCACACCUUGGUUGCUAUGAAAUCGAGAACCGUUCAAUGUUUUCACUUGAAAAUAAAAUUAUUGGGCCCAAUGUGUACAGACUCCAAAAUAGCCAACAUGCAUAUGUGUGUGUUCUUUUUUUCGUGCAUUUCAAUUCAUUCUGUUUUUUCCUUCUCGCAUUACGCAUUAAUCAUAGUUAUGGAUAAAUUGUGUGAUCAGAUUGAAAUGCCUUUAAGUCAAAUUGGAAAUUGAAAUCGAUAUUAUCGAUCAUUUUAUUCCACUUUGCCAUUCAUUUAUAUUUUUUUCGUUCAUAACCUGUCAAAUACAUUAUGAAUAAUCUAUUUUGGGUUUAAUUUCAAAUUGUCUUUGAAUUUCAAUCAAUUGAAGAGAAAUGGGCAGAUCUCAUCAGAAGAUCACAAUCAUGUAUCGAGUUUCUAUUUGACAAACCCAAAAUGACAUCACGACGAUGCAAUGAAAGUACGAAUACAAUUGACAUUUAUGAUCGAAAAUGCUUUUCCCAUUUGAUUUACAUUGUUUUGGGUUGUAAACGGUGUCCAUGCCCACCAUAUAUGUGAAUUACUUGAUGAUGCCCGCGUAAAAUGUUAUUUAUAGAAAUGUGCAUUUCAUUUCUACAUACGGUUGCCACUUCCAAAUGAAUGAGCGGAGUACACCACUUUCAUGACACACAGGCAUUUAAAGUGCGUUUGACGUGGUUGAUGAUUUUUUUAAAGUGAAAUCAGUGUAAAAGGUGAACGACACUCUGAAUCAGUGCACUUUGCUGGACAAGAGGUGGCUGUGAAUGCACACACUCGAAAAUAAAAAACAAACGAAAAAAAAUGAAAGAAAAAUUGGAAUUUAUGACAUGCAAAACUAUAAACGAUGACGCCAUAUCCAGCAAAACAUGCAAUAAUAUCGCACACACAAAACACAACGGUCAAGCCAUAAAUAACGCAUGUCGAGCACGGCAACAAAAAAAAAAUAGUUACUUAUUUUAUGAGUCGAACGUGUUUGCAUGUGCUAGCAUUUGUACAGUUUUUUUUCUCUCUUCUCUCUUCUGUUCAGAUGUUGGUUUUUUUUGUGAGUGGCCGCAAAUCUAGUCGAACCAAACGCACAGAGAGGAGAAGCAACAACGACGACAAAAAAAAACCAACCUACCAUGUUGAAAUGUUAAAAGAUCAUCAAUUCAAAAAUGAUGUCUAAUCGCUUUUUUUCCUAUGAAAUUUUCCAUUGCGAUACAGUGUUCGCAACAAUUCCAAGCAAAAGCAUUGAUCCAUCCGUAUAAUCACAUCGCCACAACAAAUGUCCAAAUUCAUACACCAUAAACCGACCAACACACACACAUACACUCAGAUGGUGGAAUAUCCAACCGCAAGCGCUGCACAACGAUUUCAAAUGCACGUGAUUUCUAAUCCGCCGACACAUCCACAUAUAAAGUUCACAGCCAUAACCGGCUGCUAUCAAAUCGAUGUAUGCUAAUUUUGGUUCAGUUAAGAUUGUUUUAUUUCUUCUUCUUCUUACUGCUGCUAAACGGUUUUUUUUCCUCUUCUUUGAUCUCAAAGAGAGAAGAUCAGAGGAGAAAAAAAGGUUUCGAUGCUCUGUUAUUGAAGCAAUUAUAAUUAGUUGAUGAUGGUGAUUAAUAGCAUAAAAUCCGAUCGACCUCAUUCCAAGCUGGAAUUUCCAGCCACCAAAUGAAAACAAGGAAAUGGAAACGAUAAUAAAGAUUUCAGCAAUUAAUUCUUUUUCCACGUCACUUUUUCGGGCGUUUUUUAUUGCGAGAUUGGUUUGAUUAUUUUUUUCUUUUAAUCGACACCAAAAUACUACGUUUUGAUGAUAAAAUCGUAGCAAUUUACGCUUCACACAAUAACAUUUGAUUAAAUAUUUGGAAGUUUUUAUGUCGACAAAUCUAAAUGAGUGAAUACUGUUUUUUUUUCUCGUUGGUUGUUCAAGUGGCUCAUUAAAAAAUUGCUGUGACUGUAGCGCGCUCACAUUUAACCAUAACUAAUUUAUGCACGUUCUAUUUCGUUGAAUCAAAACCAUGUGUGUGAGUGUGUUUUUUUUAUUUCCUCGGGCUGAUUGGAUCCUGCAUCAAGGUUGCGCUAUUUUUAUUUGGCAUUGUUCUAUUUUCGUUAUAUCAGGAGAUAAAGUCGCACGGAAUUUGUCGAAAUGGAACUCAAGCUGCUUGAUUCAAGCAAGUCUGAAAAAAUGGAUUACUACGCCAAUACAACCUUCACGGAAGUACGGUUCACACUUCAUUCUAAAACGAAGAAAAUAUGUUCGUCUUGACUUGCGUGGAAUUUCAAAAAUCAACGAGCGAAGAGUUGCAUGCAAUUAAAAAGAUCGCACUUUCGUUUAGCCGCCUCUUCAUAAAUCGAGUAUGAAGUGAAUCCAGUAUGGAGUGAAUUAUGCGUGAUUAAAUCAAAUGAAAUGAAAACGAUGGAGACACAACUGUGGCUCGGCUUCGAUCCAAUGACGCAUUCGAAAAUGUCGAAAAAAUAAAAUCGAAACAAUCGAAAAAAACAUGUGUGAAAUGAAUGGAGCAAAAUAUCAAAUUGAAGCAACAUGAAAUGAUCGUGUUGCAAAAACCAUGAUGAUUUGGAAAAUGAGAGAGAAACAAAACAAAAAAAUAAUACAGAAAAAAAAAGUUGUAAUCUAUAGUCGGUUUUACAGCCAGUCAUUCACGCAUUUCCGUAUAAUUGAUUGAAAUCAUACCAUAAAUAGAAACUUGAUCUUUUGUGCAAAUGGCAUUUUUGGCUCUUCGCUUCGAAGUGAGUCGCAUUUAAAACCGAACCGCGCCUCACACACAGUUUAGUGAACUUGGUCUUUGUGCAAUUUUCGGUACAACGGCACAACCUCUCUCUUGAGAUGAUGGCAAUGGAAGAGAUGAGGCUGGCACAUCUUUAAGCAACGAUGCACGAAAUAAAUAAAGCAACAGCAACGAACGAUCAUACUCAAUCAAAUUGAAUAAUCAAACUGAAAGUAAAUCUCGUGCGCGAGAUCAAGACACAAAAGAACAACACACUCUCUCUGGGCCGCGUAUUGAAACCGGAGGGACAGAGAGAUUGAAAGAAAUGUGAUGCAUCUUCAGUUGAUCCAAAGAAAUGUCCAUCGGCGCAUUUAUCAUCUUUAUUUUCAGUGAGUUUUUUUUUCUGUCUGGCUGGCUGUUAUUGUUUUGUUUUCAUGUUUUCUCUCGCUCUCUCGCUCGCUCGGUUUAUUCAUUGCGAAAGUGCACGGUAAUUUAAGUGUAUAUUGAACACCGUGUAUUUACAAAGUAUCGCUUUUCGUCGUUCAUCGUUCGACUAGUGCGACCACAAAAGAAAGAAAUUGCGCAGAAAGAAACAAAAACUUCAAAGUUCAAAAUCGAAAAGCAUACAAAAUUACCUUUGUUCGUUGGGUCGAGUCGAAAUUAAAGUGAAAGUGACGCCGAAUGCUUUCUUCAUGUGCGCGCAGCUAUGCCAAUGCCAUGCAAGCGGAUGACGGUGUGUGCGCGUUCGCGCAUAUAUAUAUAUUCGUCGCCGAAAUGUAUAAAAAUAUGGAGAAAAAAAGAUAGACACACACGAAAACAAAAGAGAAGCGGCCAAAAAAAACAACAGAAAGAAAAAAAGAAA